This 216-nucleotide unclassified non-coding RNA is filed under the name Hevea brasiliensis (rubber tree). Lineage: Eukaryota; Viridiplantae; Streptophyta; Magnoliopsida; Malpighiales; Euphorbiaceae. The record is from RNAcentral.
ACAAUAUUCCACCCAUAAUGCACUGGAGCAGCAACUUAAUAGCACCAUGGUUGAUGAUGGAGGAGCUACAGGAUCCAUUGGUCCUAUGGGUUGUGGGGAUUUACAGUCUCUUAGCCUGUCCAUGAGCCCUGGUUCUCAGUCAAGUUGUGUUACAGCGCCCAGACAGAUCUCUUCGCCUACUGGCACUGAAUGUAUGGCCAUGGAAACAAAGAAGAG